Molecule: long non-coding RNA, 2047 nt
Filed under: Zea mays
Lineage: Eukaryota; Viridiplantae; Streptophyta; Magnoliopsida; Poales; Poaceae
Description: long non-coding RNA (ZMAY_LNC001186)
Source: RNAcentral
CUCAGCCGUUGGAGGCAACGACUCUGCGGCUCCGCGAUCACGAGGCCUCCUUUGGUAGUCUGGGAUCCCGGAAGGAUUCCGGCUUAUUCCCUGGCCUUGAAAUCCACGGGUCCAAUUUCCCUGGGGCAAACAAAAAGUGUAUUUGGUGUCACACGUCUCCCGGCCCAAUCCGUGGGGAAGAGCGGGCUUUCGCCCCCGGCCUCGUAACGUCGGGUAGGUUUUCCCCGACUCGACUGCGCUUCUCUUCGUCUCCUUCGCGAACCCGCCGUCGCCCACUGCCUCCUCUCCUUCUACCUCGCGCACCCGCCGCCGCUUGCUGUCUCCUCUCUCGCGCGCACCGGUGUUCCCAUCGCCGUCUCCUUAUCUCCCUCGUGCAGCCGCUGUUGUCUCCUCUCCACCCUUGUACCCGCCGCCGCCUCCUCUUCAGAUUUCCUCUUCUUCACCCUCGCUGCCUCCUCUUCACCCUCGCUACGGCCUCCUCAAAUCGUUGAGACAACUAGUACAGUUGAGACAACUGGUGCGAGGUCGGACGGCGGGGACCAUGCGAACAAGCUCGUUGCUGCCUUCUCGGCUCGUGCACCCUCAUCUCAAGAAGUGAAUCGCCUCAGGUGAGUACUUGCUGGUUCAUUACGUUCUUGCUGAUUCUUUCUUUAUCUCGUUGCUUUAUCUACUAGUAGCGGUGGGUAGUGUUGCUUUAUCUACUAGUAGCGCUGGUUCAUUACGGGUCUCCUUCGGAAUCUUGGUCACCAGGAUCCUGAUCCCUUGCCCCAAGUUGCGCAGGACUGUUCAGUUUGACGAAAACAACAAAUCAAUAAUAUUGUUAAUUACUGCUGGUUCAUUACGCAGGGAGUACUUGCUGGUUUUUUUUAGCUUAGAUUGCUGUUGAGAGACAUAUCAUAAUAUUGUUAAUUACUGCUGGUCUGGUCGUAUAUUUCUUCCAGAUUGAUUCCAAAUUCCGUUAGAGCAAAUUGAUUCCAAAUUUCUUAUAUAUAAGAAUUCACUUCAGUAUCAAUGCUACGUAUUUCUUCUAGAUUGUUUUCUCAACUACUAAAUCAAUAAGAAGAAUUUGGUGCAACCAUUUCAUAAUGGUUAGCGUAGACUAUUUCUCUGACAAAGUAUUUCUCUGAACUUUUUAAAAAUAAUUUGGUGCAACCAUGUACACACUUCUUGUCAUAUUUCUCAAACAUGUUCUCUUGUUUUAGGUAUACUAACAAAUGGGUUCUAGAAUUGAGUUGAUAAAGAAACAUUUGAAACAGGAGGAGGAUGAUGAUGAUGAGUUAUUUUUUGUGUUAGUUCCAGCUAUAUAUGCUUCCCUUUAUUACAGAUGUGCUGAUCCAAUUCAGUUUUCAGAGUAUGUUGACAAUCUGAAUUUAGUUCAAGCAAUACCUUCUCUUUAUUACAUAUGUUUAAGCAGGUGCUUCAUAAACAUCUGAAUUCAGUUCAUCAAUGUAUUCUCUUUAUUACUGAAUAUUGAAUUGAAUAUAAAGGCUUUCAUGUCCCCAAAUACAGAGGGUCUCCAAAUUGGAUAUUGAACUGAAUAUAGAGGAAUUGAAUAUAUAUAUAUAUAUAUAUAUAUAUAUAUAUAUAUAUAUAUAUAUAUAUAUAUAUAUAUAUAUAUAUAUACAUUUGUCUAAGUUUUCUCAUCAACAGGUGAUACACAAGGGAUUUUCAUCAACAAGUGGUCGCCAGAAGAACUGAAACAUCAAGAUGGCGUUUGCUUUUAGGUCAUGCCAUUCAGGAGAUGAUGUUUUAUUAUUAUGCACUGAGACUAUGUUUGACAUUGGUCGUGUACACUGAGACUGUUUUAUUAUGAUGCACUGAGACUAUGUUUGUGUACACUGAGACUAUGUUUUAUUAUGAUGCACUGAGACUGUUUUAUUAAGCAGUGUGAAGUUCACAGCUGCUGUUCUCAUUUUAAUGCAAUUGUGUUCAAUGAGCAGUGUUGAAUGACAAACAGUGUUCUCAGCUGCUGCUCAUUUUUAUGCAAACAUUUGUGUCAUAGUUCUCAGGUUGACAAACAUUUUUAUGCAAGUGUGUUCAAUGAGCA